RNAcentral lists this transfer RNA (72 nucleotides) under Stylophora pistillata. RNAcentral's name for it is "tRNA-Arg". It matches the Rfam family "tRNA". Rfam says of the family: Transfer RNA (tRNA) molecules are approximately 80 nucleotides in length. Their secondary structure includes four short double-helical elements and three loops (D, anti-codon, and T loops). Lineage: Eukaryota; Metazoa; Cnidaria; Anthozoa; Scleractinia; Pocilloporidae. The record is from Rfam by way of RNAcentral.
GGCACGGUGGCCUCAUGGUUAGUGCGCUCGACUUCGGAUCGAGUGGUCCGGGUUCGAGUCCCGGCCGGGACA